RNAcentral lists this ribosomal RNA (257 nucleotides) under uncultured bacterium. RNAcentral describes it as "partial 16S ribosomal RNA". It matches the Rfam family "Bacterial small subunit ribosomal RNA", at positions 524 to 776 of the family's 1533-position model. The record is from RNAcentral.
UACGUAGGGUGCGAGCGUUGUCCGGAAUUAUUGGGCGUAAAGAGCUUGUAGGCGGUUUGUCGCGUCUGCUGUGAAAAUCCGGGGCUCAACCCCGGACUUGCAGUGGGUACGGGCAGACUAGAGUGUGGUAGGGGGAGACUGGAAUUCCUGGUGUAGCGGUGAAAUGCGCAGAUAUCAGGAGGAACACCGGUGGCGAAGGCGGUUCUCUGGGCAUGUCCCUGACGGCUGAGGAGCGAAAGUGUCGGGGAGCGAACAGG